Molecule: ribosomal RNA, 325 nt
Filed under: uncultured bacterium
Lineage: Bacteria
Description: bacterial SSU rRNA
Rfam family: Bacterial small subunit ribosomal RNA
Source: RNAcentral
AUUGAACGCUGGCGGCAGGCCUAACACAUGCAAGUCGAACGGCAGCACAGAAGAGCUUGCUCUUUGGGUGGCGAGUGGCGGACGGGUGAGUAACACGUAGGAAUCUACCCAGUAGUGGGGGAUAACCUGGGGAAACCCAGGCUAAUACCGCAUACGCCCUGAGGGGGAAAGCGGGGGAUCUUCGGACCCCGCGCUAUUGGAUGAGCCUGCGUCGGAUUAGCUAGUUGGUGGGGUAAGGGCUCACCAAGGCGACGAUCCGUAGCUGGUCUGAGAGGAUGACCAGUCACACCGGAACUGAGACACGGUCCGGACUCCUACGGGGGAG